This 591-nucleotide ribosomal RNA is filed under the name Nocardioides sp. MS-17. RNAcentral describes it as "bacterial SSU rRNA". It matches the Rfam family "Bacterial small subunit ribosomal RNA", at positions 273 to 874 of the family's 1533-position model. Lineage: Bacteria; Bacillati; Actinomycetota; Actinomycetes; Propionibacteriales; Nocardioidaceae. The record is from RNAcentral.
GCUUCGACGGGUAGCCGGCCUGAGAGGGUGACCGGCCACACUGGGACUGAGACACGGCCCAGACUCCUACGGGAGGCAGCAGUGGGGAAUAUUGGACAAUGGGCGGAAGCCUGAUCCAGCAACGCCGCGUGAGGGAUGACGGCCUUCGGGUUGUAAACCUCUUUCAGCACAGACGAAGCGCAAGUGACGGUAUGUGCAGAAGAAGGACCGGCCAACUACGUGCCAGCAGCCGCGGUAAUACGUAGGGUCCGAGCGUUGUCCGGAAUUAUUGGGCGUAAAGGGCUCGUAGGCGGUCUGUCGCGUCGGGAGUGAAAACCAGGUGCUUAACACCUGGCCUGCUUUCGAUACGGGCAGACUAGAGGUACUCAGGGGAGAAUGGAAUUCCUGGUGUAGCGGUGAAAUGCGCAGAUAUCAGGAGGAACACCGGUGGCGAAGGCGGUUCUCUGGGAGUAUCCUGACGCUGAGGAGCGAAAGUGUGGGGAGCGAACAGGAUUAGAUACCCUGGUAGUCCACACCGUAAACGUUGGGCGCUAGGUGUGGGACACAUUCCACGUGUUCCGUGCCGCAGCUAACGCAUUAAGCGCCCCGCCU